This is an RNA transcript of Nymphaea colorata (pocket water lily), 1172 nucleotides long. RefSeq lists it as uncharacterized. The record is from RefSeq and is a predicted model, not a curated record. The transcript is spliced from 3 exons. NCBI's taxonomy places the organism in Eukaryota, Viridiplantae, Streptophyta, Magnoliopsida, Nymphaeales, Nymphaeaceae.
GUAGGCACGGUGGACAUAACUUUCUCCUUUGCUCAUCCUGUUCUUGUCUCCUGCCGACGUUUCCAAAUCUCACGUUGCGAACGAUAUUGUGCCGAUUCGUCGCACAUUGCACGCCAGAUCACAUCGGAUCCCACUGGCUCCGCCUAUUUCAGUCGAGUGGGCAAUUGCCGUGAAGCUCCCAGACAGCAUCUUGUGAAUGGAAAACUUUUGCGAUCCAAAGCCGGAAGGUGCCCUUACCUGCCCCUUUUCUGUCGCUGUGUUAAUAAGCAAUUCAGAAUAGAGGACGGUGAGAGCGAGCAGAGAAGCAAAGGCCGUCGUCGUCACUCGGUUGACAUCGGAGGUGGAGCUACAGCUUGACAUAAGGAGGUCGGACGGAGAUGAGAGACGGCAGAGAUCCCUUCAGACCGCCAGCAACCGGUGGUGGCGAAAACAAGAAGGCGGUGAUGGCCGGGAGAGGCGUCAUUAUAAGGGCAGCCUUCUUCCUCUUCCUCUUUUUCUCCGCAAGACCUUGCUUCUGUUUAUCAGCAGGGCCUGCUGCUGGCCCUUCAUCAUUCUCCGCAGGUGGAGGAGCAGUUGAUCAGAUCGGCCAAUUAAGGACACAUCAUACUGCAAUUAAGAGGCAAGUUAUUAGUGGAGGUGAACCUGGAGUUUCGAGAAGAAGUAGUUCCGCCAGUGGUAGAGGCACAUCGGCCAAGACAAACCCCACAAGAGUUCCUCAGUCAGCAACCACUGCCAUGGUUCGGACCUUCUGUUGGUUGCAUGGGCAGCAUUCAGUUGUCUCUUGAUGUGGAAGUGAUUAGUAUAAUGGGGAUGAAUACAAUCUGUUGGGGAGGCCAAAGUAGUUGCGCAGGUCCAGGUUUCCGUCUUCAUAGUUGUCUAUGUUGUAAAAAAAGAAACAUAUCAUAGAAAGUUAUCACACAUAUAUACAUGCCCUUAUGCAUCAUAUCAUGUAUGCCCUUAUGCCACUCAAGCCAAUAACUGUUGGCCUAUACUAGCAAUUGUUCCAAACUCCUUGGGCUUGAGGCAACUAUAGUGAGGGGCUUAUAAAAAAGGAGUUGUUAUGUGAUUGGUUGUCUUAUCUUAUAGCCUUUAAGUUUUUAGGUUAUAACUGAAACUGCUAAGGAAUGGAUUGUAAUUUGCCGCCACAUGUUUGCUUUUCCUCCUUGAGCUUG